UCCCUGGUGGCUCAGUCAGGAAAGAAUCUGCCUGCAAUGCAGGAGGCCUAGGUUCGAUCCCUGGGUUGGGAA
This 72-nucleotide transfer RNA is filed under the name Ovis aries (sheep). It matches the Rfam family "tRNA". Rfam says of the family: Transfer RNA (tRNA) molecules are approximately 80 nucleotides in length. Their secondary structure includes four short double-helical elements and three loops (D, anti-codon, and T loops). Further hydrogen bonds mediate the characteristic L-shaped molecular structure. tRNAs have two regions of fundamental functional importance: the anti-codon, which is responsible for specific mRNA codon recognition, and the 3' end, to which the tRNAs corresponding amino acid is attached (by aminoacyl-tRNA synthetases). tRNAs cope with the degeneracy of the genetic code in two manners: having more than one tRNA (with a specific anti-codon) for a particular amino acid; and 'wobble' base-pairing, i.e. permitting non-standard base-pairing at the 3rd anti-codon position. The record is from Rfam by way of RNAcentral. Lineage: Eukaryota; Metazoa; Chordata; Mammalia; Artiodactyla; Bovidae.